This 253-nucleotide ribosomal RNA is filed under the name uncultured bacterium. RNAcentral's name for it is "partial 16S ribosomal RNA". It matches the Rfam family "Bacterial small subunit ribosomal RNA", at positions 524 to 776 of the family's 1533-position model. The record is from RNAcentral.
UACGGGGGGGGCAAGCGUUGUUCGGAAUUACUGGGCGUAAAGGGCUCGUAGGCGGCCAACUAAGUCAGACGUGAAAUCCCCAGGCUCAACCUGGGAACUGCGUCUGAUACUGGAUGGCUUGAAUUCGGGAGAGGGAUGCAGAAUUCCAGGUGUAGCGGUGAAAUGCGUAGAUAUCUGGAGGAAUACCGGUGGCGAAGGCGGUUCUCUGGGCCUUACCUGACGCUGAGGAGCGAAAGCGUGGGGAGCGAACAGG